UACGGAGGGUGCGAGCGUUAUCCGGAAUUACUGGGCUUAAAGGGUGCGUAGGCGGCUUUGUAAGUCAGGAGUGAAAGUUUGCGGCUCAACCGUAAAAUUGCUUUUGAUACUGCGAGGCUAGAAUUAGGAUGAGGUCAGCGGAAUGUGGCAUGUAGCGGUGAAAUGCAUAGAUAUGCCAUAGAACACCAAUUGCGAAGGCAGCUGGCUAGACCUGGAUUGACGCUGAGGCACGAAAGCGUGGGGAGCGAACAGG
This 253-nucleotide ribosomal RNA is filed under the name uncultured bacterium. RNAcentral describes it as "partial 16S ribosomal RNA". It matches the Rfam family "Bacterial small subunit ribosomal RNA", at positions 524 to 776 of the family's 1533-position model. The record is from RNAcentral.